GACGAACGCUGGCGGCGUGCCUAAUACAUGCAAGAAGAACGCACAGUUUAUACCGUAGCUUGCUACACCAUAGACUGUGAGUUGCGAACGGGUGAGUAACGCGUAGGUAACCUGCCUGGUAGCGGGGGAUAACUAUUGGAAACGAUAGCUAAUACCGCAUAAUAUUGAUUAUUGCAUGAUAAUUGAUUGAAAGAUGCUAUUGCAUCACUACCAGAUGGACCUGCGUUGUAUUAGCUAGUAGGUGAGGUAACGGCUCACCUAGGCGACGAUACAUAGCCGACCUGGGAGGGUGAUCGGCCCAACUGGGACUGAGACACGGCCCAGACUCCUACGGGAGGCAGCAGUAGGGAAUCUUCGGCAAUGGACGAAAGUCUGACCGAGCAAGGCCGCGUGAGUGAAGAAGGUUUUCGGAUCGUAAAGCUCUGUUGUAAGAGAAGAACGGGUGUGAGAGUGGAAAGUUCACACUGUGACGGUAUCUUACCAGAAAGGGACGGCUAACUACGUG
Molecule: ribosomal RNA, 505 nt
Filed under: uncultured bacterium
Lineage: Bacteria
Description: partial 16S ribosomal RNA
Rfam family: Bacterial small subunit ribosomal RNA
Source: RNAcentral